This 96-nucleotide transfer RNA is filed under the name Scytolyngbya sp. HA4215-MV1. Its description in RNAcentral is "tRNA-Met". It matches the Rfam family "tRNA". From Rfam's summary of the family: Transfer RNA (tRNA) molecules are approximately 80 nucleotides in length. Their secondary structure includes four short double-helical elements and three loops (D, anti-codon, and T loops). Lineage: Bacteria; Bacillati; Cyanobacteriota; Cyanophyceae; Leptolyngbyales; Leptolyngbyaceae. RNAcentral also lists the same sequence under 1 other name. The record is from RNAcentral.
UGCAGCAUAGCUUAAUGGCAAAGCCCCAAGCUCAUAACUUGGUCAUUGCGGGUACCGCUUCGCGGAAGCAAGCUACGACUCCCGCCGCUGCGACCA